Long non-coding RNA from Carlito syrichta (Philippine tarsier), 633 nucleotides. RefSeq lists it as uncharacterized. The transcript is spliced from 2 exons. Lineage: Eukaryota; Metazoa; Chordata; Mammalia; Primates; Tarsiidae. The record is from RefSeq and is a predicted model, not a curated record.
ACCUUUCUCCGGCUCCGCCCCCGGCAAGUUUAGUUCCUUCUAUCCAGGACUCGCCCACGGUCUAUUCGUGGGUCUCUCCAGAACACAACACACCCAGACCAGUCCGAAGCCUUGUCAGUUCUGUCCCCGUGGUCCCUGCGCUGCGGUUCCGCUUGUGUGUAGAUCUGGCCUAGGGGCCCCCAGAGGCUGGAUGGGUACGCUUCCGGAGCUGGGUCCCUGACUGCUGGUUCUGCUACGCUCCGGCCAGUCCUUGGCUGGUCCCCAGAGGCUCGAAGGCCAAGAUCGCUUACCCUGUCUGGAAACGUUUGCACCGGCCCCUGGAGAGGCCUGUUUCUGCAUUGGAACUGCCCACCCGAGCCUGCAGAGGUAGCAUGGGAGAAGGUGUGACAAAUUGUGACAGAAAGGGAACAGACAGAAGGUUCUCAGCUAGCAGCUUCAACCUGUGCCCUAAUCCUACACACUGGCUCCUUAGACAGUGGCUGAGACAUUCCUGAAACCUCUCCAGUGCCCUGAGGACCUUUAAACCUUGGACUAGGAUGCCUGCGACCCAGGCUAGCCUAUAGUACUAAAGUGCUAAGUUGAAGUGUUCAGAGUAUACGGAGAUCUAAAUAAUAAAGGUAUCCACGAUCUGCA